GGGGAUAAUUAAUAAAAAAAAAAUAUAAUAAAAGAAUUUUUAAAUUAAAAAAUAUUAUGGGGGUUAAAGUAAUUUUUUUAAGGAAAAAAUGGAAAAAUUUAUAGUAAAUUAGUAUAGUGAUAGAAUUUUGAAAUAAAUUGAAAAAUAAAUUAAUAGAAAAGUAAAUUUAAUUUAUUGUAUCUUGUGUAUCAGAGUUUAUUUAAAAAAGAUUAUAUUUUUGUAAUAUUCUCGAAUUAAAAAGUGAUAAUUAAUUAAAAAAGUUAUUGUAGCAAAAAUAUUUUAAAUAAUUAAUUUGAAAUGAAAUGUUAAUCGUUUUUUAAGAUAUCUAGUUUUUUUAGAAAAAAAUUUAAUUUUAUAUUUAUUUAAUUAAAAAAUUAAUUAAUUAAUUUUUUGAAAAUGAAAUAUAAUAUUUUAGGGGAUAAGCUUUAAAAUAAAAAGUUAUAAUAAAAAUUAAAAUAAUAAAAAUUUUAAAAUUUAUAUUAUUAAAAUUUUAAUUUGUUAUAAAUAAUUUAAUUAAAAAUAAAAUUUUAAUUUAUUUAAUUUUUUAUAAAAAAAUGAUUUUUAAUAAAUUUAAAAUUAAAAAUAAUGAUAAAAUUAGUAUAUUAAAAUAUUUAAAAAUAAAUAAUUAUUAAAUAAAUAAUUUAAAGGAAUUCGGCAAAAUUUUAUAUUCACUUGUUUAUCAAAAACAUGUCUUUUUUGAAAAUGAUUUAAAGUCGGAUCUGCCCACUGAUAAGUUAUUAAAAGGGCUGCAGUAUAUUGACUGUACAAAGGUAGCAUAAUCAUUAGUCUCUUAAUUGGUGACUUGUAUGAAUGAUUUGCUGAAAUAUAAGCUGUCUCUAAAUUAAUAAUAAAAUUUAAUUUUUUAAUUAAAAAGUUAAAAUAAAUUUAAAAGACGAGAAGACCCUAUAGAGUUUUAUAAGUUUUAAUUAUUGAAAUUAUAUAUUUAUAAAAUAAUUGAGAUUUUAAAAUUUAUUUUAUUGGGGGGAUAAAAAAAUAAAAUAAACUUUUUUAUAAAAAAAAAACAUAAAUAAUUGAUUAAAUGAUCCAAAUAUUUUGAUUAUUAGAAAAAAUUACCUUAGGGAUAACAGCGUAAUUUUUUUUUUUAGUUCAAAUAAAAAAAAGAGUUUGCGACCUCGAUGUUGGAUUAAGAUAAAAUUUAAAUGCAAAAGUUUAAAAUUUUGAUCUGUUCGAUCAUUAAAAUCUUACAUGAUCUGAGUUCAAACCGGUGUGAGCCAGGUUGGUUUCUAUCUUUAAGAAAGGAAAAUAUUUUAGUACGAAAGGAGUAAGUAUUUAAAUUAAAUUUUAAUUGAAGAAUAUUAUUAAAAAAAAAUUAAAAUAUAAUA
This 1343-nucleotide ribosomal RNA is filed under the name Plodia interpunctella (Indianmeal moth). Its description in RNAcentral is "16S ribosomal RNA". Lineage: Eukaryota; Metazoa; Arthropoda; Insecta; Lepidoptera; Pyralidae. The record is from RNAcentral.